RNAcentral lists this unclassified non-coding RNA (301 nucleotides) under uncultured fungus. Its description in RNAcentral is "partial contains small subunit ribosomal RNA, internal transcribed spacer 1, and 5.8S ribosomal RNA". The stretch from base 1 to 73 matches the Rfam family "Eukaryotic small subunit ribosomal RNA", at positions 1759 to 1831 of the family's 1831-position model. The record is from RNAcentral. Lineage: Eukaryota; Fungi.
GCAAACUUGGUCAUUUAGAGGAAGUAAAAGUCGUAACAAGGUAUCCGUAGGUGAACCUGCGGAUGGAUCAUUCAAGUAUAUGUAUUGACUCACAUGUUAUGUGUGGUCAAUUACUUUCUUGUGCAAUGUUUUGUAUAUGGAAUGUGAUUUUAUAUUGACAUGAAAUAUGUGUCGAUAAUCACAUACUAUUUUUUUUAUCAUACAUUUCUAUCAUAUUUUUCUUAUGAAAUAUACAAAAAUAUUAAAUUGCAAAACUGCCAGCAAUGGAUCCCUCGGUUCUCGCAUCGAUGAAGAACGCAGC